GUUAAACAAAAAUAAGUUAACUGCACUAGUAGCUUCUCAUAAGCAUGCACAAUAGGAUAGCUGUGUACUAAAAUUGAAUAAUUCAAAAUAAAAUGAAAACAGAAAUGAGAGAAAAAUCAUACAAACAUUGCUGCAAUUCAUGCAAUGAUCAAAUGGAUGCUUCAAGCACCUAACCUAGUAUUUUAUGAGCAUCCAACAAAUCACUUGCAACAAAUACAAACAUUGAUACAAAGUCAUUUAUAUCUUUGAGCAUCUACGAUGCACUGUCUCCAUAACUAUUUGCAGCUUAGCACUUCUGAGCUCCAGCCUCCAAAACCUCAGGUGUUCAGGUUUCUAGAGAUUAUCAUUCCUGAAAGUUGGUUCAAAAUGGUAGUUAAAUAGCAGUUCAGCUCAUCUCUAAAAUCAAAAAAGAAAAACAAUUCAUUCUAAGUAGUUGACACGUGCGCCGUCAGGUCGCAGUUUGAUCGGCAGCACCCUGCUUCUGACGUCGCCGUUGAUACGUAAUGCCGACCAUAACAUCAACAUAAUGCAGUAUUGCAGGAAAUGGUAAACAAAUCACUUUUGAGUUAAAUUAUGCCUAGUUCAUAUAUCCAUGAGGAGUAAAAUUUCUGAAGAGUAGUUUGUUCAAUAUUAACACACAUUUCCAAACCAGCAGGCUGUGCACAUUAAGGACAGGCAACGACCACAAAUGCGUUAGCAGUAUGGAUGUAAGAGAGAUAUUUGCAAAUACUAUAAAAGUCCCAGCCAGCUGAAGAGAAUCAAAAUUUCAGGUAUAAAGUAGCAUACGGCAGACAUUAAGUUGCCCUGUUCAAGAACCAAAAAACUGCUAGCUGCAUAACUACAUAUCAAUUUUUACAGAAUUUAGUGUAUGUUUUUACAGAUUUUUUUUCUACAAUCCCCAUAGAGUUAUGAAGUGCAAAGAGUUUGCUGGAGCAAAAUAAUUAUUUUAACAGUUACAUCAGUAAUCAUGCCCUUGGAUAUCAUUAAAUGUUUCAGAAACUAACAGCUCAUAUAUCAUUUUAAUAAAGCACGCAACUUCAUCCUUCACUCCUGCUUUUAACCAUGAGCUUUUAACUAGCAUGUGGCACACUGUCACCUGCUUCAUGUGAGUAUACUAUGUUCUCUGUCUACUAAAAACUAACUUAUUUGUUCCAGUUAAAAGAAGACAUAAAACAACUAAAAGGCAAAUGCUGCAAUUGUGCGCGAGAAAGUCAUAAAAUUUCACACCUCCGCAGAAGUAACUAGAAUAGAUGAAGGCUUCUAUUUGGUUGACUUCUGAGUAUAACAUAUCUUAACAGUUCAUUGUAAAUAAAUCUGCCUUGUGGUUUGGGGCCAAAAUCUUAAAACUCAAACUGAGAAAAUAUCAACAAAGGUACAUUGCCUGACCAAACAAUGAUGCAUCAAGUAAUCUAGUAUUAGAGACGCAUUAAAACUAUGCCGGAUCAUUUUUUUUAAAUCGCCUGAUGAACCCUUGGCACUUAUCAGACGAUUAAAUCAUGAUCAGUCCAAUGAAUUGACCAUACUUGGUCCUAUGCUUUUGUAAUUCAUUACAGUACAACUAAAACAAAUGCAAAUUGCAAUACAAGAAAAUCAGAAAUCAGUCUGCCAUGCUCCACUCAUAAGAUUUCUCCGUAUUCUUUUUUGUUACAAAAGAACUUUGGUAUGGACUUAUCUGAGUUUACAAGCCAUAGCUCUGAAUUACUGAAUCUGAACGUAACCCUAGGUCGUAGCACUAACCAAAACCCUAGGAAGAACAAGAGGAGAAAGAAGAAUGGACUGACCUCAGAUCUCGAAAAGGAAGGCGUGGAGAAGGAGGAGGGCGGCACUAAGCAGGUCGCCGGGGAGGCUCGUUGCUGGCGGCGUGGGGGAGAGACGAGGGGG
This 1881-nucleotide long non-coding RNA is filed under the name Oryza brachyantha (malo sina). RNAcentral describes it as "long non-coding RNA (OBRA_LNC003358)". The record is from RNAcentral. Lineage: Eukaryota; Viridiplantae; Streptophyta; Magnoliopsida; Poales; Poaceae.